CUUCCAGAAUAAAGUCUUGAAUGUGGAUGGCGUGAAGGUGAAAUUACAGAUCUGGGACACAGCAGGCCAGGAGAGGUUUCGGAGCGUCACACACGCAUACUACCGAGACGCCCACGCUUUACUGCUCCUGUACGAUGUCACGAACCGAGCCUCCUUCGACAACAUACAGG
Molecule: long non-coding RNA, 170 nt
Organism: Gekko japonicus
Lineage: Eukaryota; Metazoa; Chordata; Lepidosauria; Squamata; Gekkonidae
Exons: 3
Source: RefSeq, a predicted model, not a curated record